UCGCUUCUCUUUGUUGAACGCCAUUGUAGUACGUGUGUAGCCCNANUCAUAAAGGGCAUGAUGAUUUGACGUCGUCCCCACCUUCCUCCGUUUUNNNAACGGCAGGCUGAAUAGAGUCCUGUUGCGUGGUGACUAUCCAUAAGGGUUGCGCUCGUUGCGGGACUUAACCCAACAUCUGACGACGCGAGCUGACGACAACCAUGCACCACCUGACUCUCUGUGCCGAAGNAAAAGCACAUUUCUGUGCU
This 248-nucleotide ribosomal RNA is filed under the name uncultured bacterium. Its description in RNAcentral is "partial 16S ribosomal RNA". The record is from RNAcentral.